ACGAUUUAAGAACCUGCGUGAUAUCUUCAAAAGGAAACAACACGACAUACGUGAAAAAACAAAGAAGUGGAGCCGGAGCAGCCGACAUUCCAACAAUAAAAUGGCCCCAUUUUGAGCCCAUGCUUGAAUUAAUGGAAGGAGAGUCUGAGCCUGUGGCCAGCCACAUCACAGCAGAAGAGGCUAACGAGAGAUCACCGCCUCGGCCAAGACAUGCAGCGGAACCGGAACGUACCCCUGAUACGGCUGAGGAGACUCGUGUCGACACCUGCAGCAAUGAGUAUCUUACAGGCCCUUGGUUAGGGCAUUGAGUAAGGGGGGCUAACAAAGACAUGUAC
RNAcentral lists this unclassified non-coding RNA (335 nucleotides) under Rhipicephalus microplus (southern cattle tick). RNAcentral's name for it is "uncharacterized LOC119185742, transcript variant X2". The record is from RNAcentral. Lineage: Eukaryota; Metazoa; Arthropoda; Arachnida; Ixodida; Ixodidae.